CGGCCACUCACCCCGCGCGGGGGGCGCGAGCUGGGGGCGCCGGGGCCGGGCGCAGCGCGCUCCGCAGCAUCUCCGGGUGUGCGCGUCCGCGCGCCCGGGUUGGCGACCGUCGCCGCGCGAGUGCGGGGGAGGCUCCCAGCCGGGCUCGGCAGCCCGCUGAAGGGCAGGCACGGCACCGGGACAAACGGGGUUCAAGUCGCACUCAGCAACACGCAGGAUCCUUGCUCCCUGAUCAAGGACUGAACCCAGGCCCCCUGCAGUUAGAAGCAUGGAGUCCUAACCACUGGACUGCCAGGCCAUCCUGUGAGGCAUGGAGGAUCUUAGUUCCCUGACCAGGGAUUGAACCUGGGUCUCCUGCACUGGGAGUGUGGAGUCUUAGCCACUGGAUGACCAGGGAAGUUCCUACUUUUCAUUUCUAGAAGUUCUACCGAAGUUUUUUUUCCCCCAUCUUCUAGGUAAUUCACACUGCUGCUGCUGCUAAGUCGCUUCAGUCGUGUCCAACUCUGUGUGACCCCAUAGAUGGCAGCCCACCAGACUCCCCCAUCCCUGGUAUUCUCCAGGCAAGAACACUGGAGUGGGUUGCCAUUUCCUUCUCCAAUGCAUGAAAGUGAAAAGUGAAAGUGAAGUCGCUCAGUCGUGUCCGACUCUUAGUGACCCCAUGGACUGUAGCCCACCAGGCUCCUCCAUCCAUGGGAUUUUCCAGUCCAGCUGUGACACUGGAAGACUUUUUGAACCUGUUUCUGUCAGUUGCAUCUGCUGGUCCCCACUGUUGUUCAUCUCUCACUGGACAUCAGUCGGUCUCCUUGGACAGUCAUUGGUGGGUUGAGCCCAGGAUGACUGACUUUCCUCCAGAGAAUGUGUGUUUGCUCCUCGAGGGCAGUGGGGAGGACUGCAAGCCCAGGAAGCCCUAAGGACUGAGGUCACGGCAGGCAGAGUCCCGGGGUGACCAGUGCUGUCAACCCAGGGUGAGGACUUGCCCCGCCCCUCACUUCUUAGGAACCAGACUCCCCUUUGGCUUUUCCCAGGCUCCACUCAGCUCGAGGGCAACAUUCCCUGCCGUCUUCUGUUCUUCUUCAAGGUAUAUACCAGGGGUUCCAGCAGAACGGAGAGUGGGUCUCCUAGUAGAUCCCCACUUGAGCCCUUCAUCCUUGGGGCCCUCAGGGGCACAGGUGCCUUUGUGCCCCUUACCUGCUUUCGCUUACCAUCUGCCCUGGAUCUUAUCUUUGGCCGUGCCGCGUCUUUGUUGCUACACGUGGACUUUCACCAGCUGCGGUGAGCGGGGCCUACCCCCUAGUUUCAGCACGCGGGCUUCACAUUGUGCUGGCUUCUCUUGUUGUGGGGCACAGGCUCUAGGUGCCAGGGCUUCAGUAGCUGCAGCGCAGGAGCUCAGCAGUUGCGGUUCCUCGACUCUAGAGCACUGGCUUAAUAGUUGUGACGCUCAGGCUUAGUUGCUCCUCGGCAAGUGGGGUCCCCCCGGCCCAGGGAUGGAACCUGUGUCUCCUGCAUUGGCAGGCGGAUUCUUUACCACUGACCCCCCAGGGAAGUCCCUGAGCUGGAUGUUCUUUAUAACCCGCUGGUUUGUCAGUAGGUCAUUGUAUGUUUUCCAGUGUUUUAAAUUAAAGCAGAAGUGUUGGCUGAAAAAUCUAACCCAUCACUACCAGAAAUAGAAGUUCUAAAAUGCACUUAAAAAACUUACUUGUAAUUAGACAAGUAACAUGUGAAUACACCAUCCUUAUAAAAACAAACUGUGUGUGGUUAUCGGCUGGUACGUAUGCCAGACCCAGGCUUCUUUUACUUACAGGAGUCAGGGACUAAUUCAGUCUUGUCCUUCCUUACGACUCAGAAUAUUUUUUAAAAUUGAGUUAAAAAAUAAAAAUUGAAACUUUAAAACUGUGUAGACAAGGAAAGGCCUCCUUUGGCUGUCACCCAACGUCCAUUAUCUUCCCCAGAGGUUUCCACUGUUUUUGGCUUAGUACAUACCAUUUAAAAAAUAUACUUAUUUAUUAGGCUGUAUUUACUUAUUUGGCCGUGGCAGAUUUUUGAACUGACGCAGGGAUCAACCCAGUGGAAGCAUGGCAUCUUAACCCCUGGACUGCCAGGGAAGCCCCUCUUUUCUAUGAAUUUUCUGUUCAUUUCCUUCACUCAAUUUAAAAAUUGGAAUGUCUUUGGAUCAGUGGGUAAUUUCUUAUACAUUCUGUGUAGUUUGUUUCCCCUGAUGCCUAAUAUUUUCUUAUGUAUCAAUUUUUAAUGGAUGUAAAACACCAUUGUAAAGAAAAAAAAAGAUGGUGCAAGUGCCUGGCACAUAAUUACUUAACAGGAGGCCCACCCAUCAUUUGUAAUUGCCCACAUACUGCUAAAAAUACCACAGAAGAAAUCUGUGCCUCUAGUGGCUUUGUUUCCUACCUCUUUUCUUUUUUUUUUUUUUUGCAAAAUCACCUGAAGUCUGAG
Molecule: long non-coding RNA, 2448 nt
Organism: Bos taurus (domestic cattle)
Lineage: Eukaryota; Metazoa; Chordata; Mammalia; Artiodactyla; Bovidae
Source: Ensembl